AGACACACGGCGGUCGCACCAGAAUCUAAAGUACGCGGCCGUUGCACGCGCCCUUAUCGUGCACUCCGCAAUAAUGCGCAGUUCCUUGUGUCUGCAGAUGCCCGUUUUGGGUAAGACAGAUAUACAAGAGGAGAGCGUCGAGGGCUCAUCAUCACCGUAUGUGGUUGCUGUAUGGCUCGUCCUCCAUCUCUAGAGAUCUCGACCGUUGAUUCUACUUCCCUGCUCUUCGCCGGCUUAGAUCUGUUCGAACCGAAGCCAGAGAAUAUGGACUUUAUGGACAUUGAUCAGGUGAUGGAUGUUCCUGACACUCCUGAUAGACUGACCUCACGGCAGAAGAUUAGUUUGAAUGUUAGUGGCGAUGCUGCAAAUGGUGACUUACUCAAUAGGGGAAUUCUCAAUGGGCUCAGGGGCAGCCGCAGGCUAAACACCAAUAAUGGAAAUAGCAAAAACUCAUAUUCUCGUCGCCAGAGAGAUCUUGAUGAUCAUAACGAAAUUAAGCAUGGCAGUUCACUCAUUGAUUCUGCUGCAGAUAGUGCAUCUGUUUCUGAUGGUUUCGAUGAGUCUACAAUGAGAUUGGCUGAUCAGAUUUCCAAAAGGAAUGAGACUAAACUCUCCGCACAAACUCAACAUACAGAGUCUGCGCCUUAUCAGAACAAACCUCUGUUACGCAUUCCUUCCAGUUCACAAUGGUCCACUGAUCAUCUAGUUGACAGAUCUAAGCUUUGCAGCAGCACUUCUGAUAUCAAUGGUAGCUCAGCCUCUGAUGUCAAAAUUCAUGGUGGAAAUAGAGGAAGAAAGAUUGGUUUAAGCCAGAAGAUUCCCUCUGAUAGUUUCUUUCCCACUAAAAUUAGAGAUGCGAGACGUCGGAUGCUUCCAUGCCAUGGAAACUCUAGUUCAGAAAAGGACCUUUGCACUGAGAUUCCUCCUCGAUCUUUCACUUGGCAGGAUGCCGAUCAUGUUUUGGAUAGUUCUGAGCGACACGAGUAUACUGGAAAACCUGAAAGGCCUUGUUCCAUUGGCAGAUUUGAAAAAGUUGGAGCCAAAGAGGUGGAUACAGGAUCAGUUAUCUCUUCUGGAUCAAUCAGAGAAUCACGAAGCAAGUCGCAAGCAACCCAUGGUCUUUUUCCUCUGUAUGAUGCUGACAAUUAUUCUAAAGCAUCUGGUAAUGCCCGUAAAAGAGAAACAGAUGGUACAUUAGAUGGAGCUGGUGUAAGUAUUAAUCAUGUAAAUGUUAAUGCUGAAUUGAUGGGUAAUGAUAAGGGAAAAGGGAUUGAUUUGUUCCACAAACCUCCACCUAAAACUGCACAAUCCGCAUCAAUAUCAUUGACUGUCGCUUCACCCAGGAAAACCGGGCAGAGGCGGCUGGUACGCAAUGGGUGUAUUUCUCCAUAUAAUAUAGCGAAGAGCAAAAGCACAUCUGACUACGGCAGGAAUGCCAGGGAUGAUAAACAAGAUGAGAAUGACAAAAGGACAUGCAACGACCUUCCUGAUGGGAAUUCCUCAUGUCAGGUACAUAUCAUCAGUCCUGGUUCUGAAGGCAACCAGAUUGAUAAAAUGAAGGGAAAAGGGAUAGUGAACGAACACAUGCCCGAAAACGAUUGUGAUGCUAGAACUAAAUCUCUGUCGAGCAGGAAUUUCUCGAUUCCCAGGGAGAAGGAUUCUGGCAUUGGAGAUGAUGCCAUUGAUGAUAUUUUUAGAUCUGCUGAAGAAAUCGGAGGGUGGAGAAACACUCGUAAUCUUUUGAAGGCGGCAUAUUUGCCCUCAUCUCAUGACAUUGGAGGUCAUUCAACGAUAAAUAAUGGUGGCUGUGAUUCAUUUAAUCAGAGCCAUGGAGGCAAAAUGGAAGAUGGGAAUUACUUGACAGAGGUAAAUGCUAGCCCUGAAUUUGACUUUCAUAAAGAUGGGGAUCCCAUCAUUCUACAGCAUGUUGGACCUAAUACACGUCUAGUUCAAGCAUCUUCAAGCGUUAUCUCUGAGUCAAACCCUGAAAAUAAUGAAAGACAGAAGGGCAAGCAAAAGCUAAUGAAAAGACAAAGGAAGACUCCAGCAUCAUGCAAUAAUCUUGGCGAAUGCUCUAGUUUGACUUUUGAUGGCCCAGAAGUCUCAUUUGUCCGAUCGUCUGGGCAACCCUCAAAUGUGAAACCCUCAAAUGUGAAACCAACCAGAACUCGCAAUUCUCAGCGACGUGGCAACUUGAUACCGGUUAUAGAAGUUGAUGAGCCAUGUUCUCCUGAGGCAAUAUUUAUAGACCAACAAGAUGCAGGUCGCUUGGUUAAUGAUGACUCUGGCACAAGGGCUAGACAAGUUGAAGCAGAUGAGAUAUUGGCUCGUCAACUCCAAGAGCAGUUCUAUUCCGAAUCGCCAGGAAUGGAAGGUGGAGAGAUGGAUGCAAGUCUAGCAUGGACACUACAACAUGACGAAGAUGCGCAGCGUCUUACUUCUAUUGGGAAUCGUCACCUAUUGCAUCCUAGAGACUCAUCGGUUGGACAUUCAUAUAGAGGCCACUCGUCACAGUCUUUCCCUAGUUCUUCAGCCCGGCCAACAAAUCGUGCUCCAGCAUAUACCUCUAGACGAAUGCAACAGUUAAGGAGAAAUUUUUAUGGUCAUUCUCCUGCUGCAUCUUCUAGAGGAAGGAAUUUUCAAUUUCCCCCACAUAUGAAUUUAGAGACGAGAAUUGACUUCCUGGAAGCAUUGGAAGCAGCAGUUGCCAACAGGAAUAGCGCGACAAUGGCCAGUCACUUCUUUCAAGUCCAGCGUGAUUUUAAUGAGAAUGACUAUGAGAUGUUACUGGCUCUUGACGAUGACAACCAUCAGCAUGUUGGUGCAUCUCUCAAUCAGAUCAACAGCCUGCCAGAGUCAACAAUCCAGACUGAUAAUUUUGAAGAAGCAUGUGCUAUCUGCCUUGAAACCCCGUCCACUGGAGAUACGAUCCGCCAUUUACCAUGCUUACAUAAAUUUCACAAAGAGUGCAUUGAUCCAUGGCUCAGAAGGAGAACAUCGUGUCCAAUUUGCAAGUCAUCUAUCACUUGAUCUGCAUGAAAUGUACAUGUGACAUGAGCUAUUGAUGUGGGUGGGCAAUCGAAGCUGUGCAAGCACUUCUCAGAAAUGGGUCGUCCAGGUCCUCUACGAGCUGGUAGCCGCAGGACGAAUAAGAAGGAGGAAUGGAGUAGAAGAGAGAGAAAUGGUUCGCCAGACUCUCAAGAUCUUCUUCUAUCUCUUCAUCUUCUGCUUGGAUGUCUCUGUGAUAGGGUAUGCAUAUUCAGAGGGAUUGGAAGAUGCUGCAGAAACAUUGAGUAGCUUCGCCUUCUGCGCCACCAGAUUCUUCGCAGAACUAACACUCGCCAUUUGGGCUGGUUUCCUCCCUCAGGCCAGGACUUCUGAAGCAAUGUUCGCCCUCUCCAUCGUUACGGGCCUUGUAUUCUUCACCAGAGCUGUGUUUCUCUUGGCGCGUGGGUCUUGGUCCUUCAGCUUCGUUAUUGGAGUUAAUUCGCUGAUCUGGUUCUCGAGGGGGCGUCAGGCAGCCCCCGGCCACGCUCAUCAGAUGUAGGACCUGCUUAUUGAUGUUGACACGUGGGCGAUAUCACACACGAGCGUGGUUCCACGGUACUUAUCUUUCGGUGAGUGUUUGGAUUCGAGCUAGGGUUUUGGACUAUUUUAGGUAUUUUGCGAUUUUGUACGGAGACGAGGAGAGAGAUGAUGAUGAUGGCAGGUGAUGCAAUUUUCUACAGUUUUGUGGUUCUUUUGUUUGCAGGGCUUUUGCUUAAAUGACAGAGAGAGUGUGGAAAUCAAAUCUCUUCCUGCUAUAGAGUUUGUUCCUUUUCUUCUUC
This is an RNA transcript of Magnolia sinica, 3827 nucleotides long. RefSeq lists it as uncharacterized. The transcript has 10 exons. NCBI's taxonomy places the organism in Eukaryota, Viridiplantae, Streptophyta, Magnoliopsida, Magnoliales, Magnoliaceae. The record is from RefSeq and is a predicted model, not a curated record.